GUAAUAAUUCUUAAAAGAACUACUUAAAACCAGAACACUAAACCAACAAUUCUAAAAGAGCUGUUUUUAAAGCUAAAAGACACUAUGCAUUUCGGCAGACUACUCAAUCAGAUGUCAACGUCUGCUAUAAGAGAACUUCGAAAUCAUGCGACAUUUGUAACGUUAGGAAAAAAAUGACGUCAUCUCUAAAUUGAGAGAUGACGCUUAAAACAGAGAUAAAUUAAACACGUCACCCUUUUGUCGGUAGAGGACGGGAUUAGUCACCUCAAUACAAUAAUCACAAGAUCAAUAACCGUUAUACAGAUAAAGUACACCAAACAUCAUUCAGACGUUGCAACAUUGUCAAGUUGAUCAGACGACAAAAAAUCGGCGACAAGUUGAAGGUCCUGGUAACUAACGAACGUAGGACGAUAUCAAAACCUCAAAGGCACUCACCGAUUGCUUCAACUUGCUUCUGUAAAGUUUUGUUGCUAAGAAAAUACGAGUCCUUACAGCUUCGCAAUUGAAUGUUUAAAAUCUCUGAAUUCGUUGCGAGGAUUUUCGACUGCUCUUCCUUGAAAAAAAAAAUUCGUUGACAGUUAGGGUUUUAAAAUCUGCUUCGAAGCAC
Long non-coding RNA from Xenia sp. Carnegie-2017, 607 nucleotides. RefSeq lists it as uncharacterized. The record is from RefSeq and is a predicted model, not a curated record. Lineage: Eukaryota; Metazoa; Cnidaria; Anthozoa; Malacalcyonacea; Xeniidae. The transcript has 2 exons.